CUUUGUUGUUGUGUGUCAAUUAAAUGAGCUACUCAAAGAAAGAUUAUCGUUCAGAAAAUACCAAAAAACGAAAAAGACCUUACUACAACGACUUUAUACUCGAUGAGGCCGAAGUCGACGACGAGGACGAACAGUCAGAAGAAGACAGCCGACAAUCAGACGAAGACUUGAUUGACUCAGAUGUCGAUAUAAAUGCAGGUGUGGACUACUCCGCAGUCAAUCGACAGCUCGGAAGAUU
Molecule: long non-coding RNA, 238 nt
Organism: Octopus sinensis (East Asian common octopus)
Lineage: Eukaryota; Metazoa; Mollusca; Cephalopoda; Octopoda; Octopodidae
Exons: 3
Source: RefSeq, a predicted model, not a curated record